GGCAGCUUAGCAAAGUGGUUACUGCGAUUGAUUCGAAUCCAAAGGAUUGGAACUUAUCAAUUCCUCUUCGAGGGCGCAGGUUCGAGUCCUGCAGCUGUCG
Molecule: non-coding RNA, 100 nt
Organism: Ceratobasidium sp. AG-Ba
Lineage: Eukaryota; Fungi; Basidiomycota; Agaricomycetes; Cantharellales; Ceratobasidiaceae
Source: the annotation of a GenBank genome assembly